AUUAAUGAUUACUUUUGUUAUUGGUUUUGGUAGUGAACAGUAAACGACCCUUUUUACUCUAUUUUGCGUUUUGUAUGUUAAUUUUGUGUUACGUUAAAAUGUCUAAAAUAACAACAUUUUUCACGAAGACAGUGUCUAAUACCGCUACUGUGUCAUCGUGUACGCCUGGUAGUAGUGAGACUGUUGAGAGUGACGAGAGUGUAAAUCUGAAAAGAUUACACAAUGCCGAAGAUGAUGUGCAACAUUUAAAUAAAAAAUUGAACACUGACGUUUUAAAAAUGUCUGGAUUCCGGCAAAAAAUUUUGAUUUUCCUAUACAAAAUAAAUGUAUGAAAAAAAAAUUAAAAUUCCAAUAUUCAUGGUUAUAAAAAUAUUCAUGGUUGGCUUAUUCAAAAAAAGAUGAAGGGGCUUACUGUCGGCACUGUGUAGUGUUUUCCAAGCAUGGAGGAGUUGGAAACCAAUUAUUGGGGCAAUUUGUACUAACACCAUUUUGCAAUUAUAAAAAUGCCCUCAAAGCAUUUCAAGAUCAUGCAAAGACUUCCUACCAUGCAUCAUCUGUUUUAAAGUCCCAGCAUUUUUUAAAUAUUAUAGAUCACACACAGCCAUCAAUAAUUGAACGCAUAGAUACAAAUCGAUUGGCUCAAGUACAACAAAAUAGGAAAAGAUAAGUUCCUAUUAUUGAAUGCGUUUUGUUGUGUGGAAAGGAAGAAAUUCCUCUACAAGGCCAUCGAGACUGGGAAAAUAGUGAUUGAUGAUAUGAACUCUAGGAAGGGUAAAUUCCGUGCUAUUUUAAAGUAUAGAGCGAAAGGAGAUGAACAUUUAAGAAACAUGUUAGAAGAUGGUGGUAAAAGAAAUAAAUAUACCAGUCCUAUAAUCCA
Metopolophium dirhodum (rose-grain aphid) is the source of this 877-nucleotide long non-coding RNA. RefSeq lists it as uncharacterized. The record is from RefSeq and is a predicted model, not a curated record. The transcript has 5 exons. NCBI's taxonomy places the organism in Eukaryota, Metazoa, Arthropoda, Insecta, Hemiptera, Aphididae.